AGCUAGAGGCCAGGAAAGAGAAUAUGGAAACUAAAAAGAGACCACAAUAUGGCAUGGUGCCCAUUCUGCCCUAGGUAUGUUCCUGCAUCUGCUCUCCAUCGGUCAGGAUUCCAUGGUCACUGCAUAUAUGCAGUUCCCACCAGGUAGGUCCCAAGAAAUCCAUAUUUCUGUUAUAGUUAUGUAGAAGACUGCUUUGAGGAACAAUUAUCUUUAAAGGAGUCUGUUGAAGACUUUAUUUGGGAGAAUGUGUAUGUCGCUCCAGAGUCAGAAUUACACAGAUUCCAUUUGAAAUCUGUAGGAUUGGGAAGGAAAUUGAAGUAGCUGCUCAUCACUCUUGCACUACUUUGCGGGGUAAGUGGAACCGAACUGCGGAGGCUAUUUUGAUUUGGCUGUGCAUCCAGUAGUAGUUAUUUGUCUGUCAGACUGUGGUGAUCAUCAUGUUCUUUGCCCUGUGCAGGCUAAAUCAUAUCUGCCAGCAGCAG
RNAcentral lists this long non-coding RNA (482 nucleotides) under Salvator merianae (Argentine black and white tegu). RNAcentral describes it as "lncRNA (ENSSMRG00000018305.1)". The record is from RNAcentral. Lineage: Eukaryota; Metazoa; Chordata; Lepidosauria; Squamata; Teiidae.